Molecule: ribosomal RNA, 354 nt
Filed under: Triticum aestivum (bread wheat)
Lineage: Eukaryota; Viridiplantae; Streptophyta; Magnoliopsida; Poales; Poaceae
Description: partial small subunit ribosomal RNA
Source: RNAcentral
AUGUCAAUUUCCCGGUUCGAGAUGUUUCAUCUUUUCUUUUCCGGAGUUCCAAGUUUUCCACUUUAUCUCGUCGUGAAGCUCCAUCUAAAUCAUCGCAAGGCUUCACCUUGUGUUUUCAACUUCCCUUUUUUUAUCAUCCUUUUAUUACCGGAGUUCUUCAUGGAGGCUCUACAUGGUGGUUCGUCAAGGAUUCUUUUCAUUCCUCAAUUGUUCUUCAAGUUUUUCUCUCAGAGUCAUGAUCCGCCAAGCUACACUCUAUCUAAACAUGGUGCCCAACACAUGUUUUUUCCUGAGGAGUUCAAAUAUUCUUCUUCUUGCAUUUCGAAGUGCAAUUCUUUCUACAUUAUCUUGUGA